AGUGAACGCUGGCGGUAGGCCUAACACAUGCAAGUCGAACGGCAGCACAGUAAGAGCUUGCUCUUACGGGUGGCGAGUGGCGGACGGGUGAGGAAUACAUCGGAAUCUACUUUUUCGUGGGGGAUAACGUAGGGAAACUUACGCUAAUACCGCAUACGACCUACGGGUGAAAGCAGGGGAUCUUCGGACCUUGCGCGAUUGAAUGAGCCGAUGUCGGAUUAGCUAGUUGGCGGGGUAAAGGCCCACCAAGGCGACGAUCCGUAGCUGGUCUGGGAGGAUGGUCAGCCACACUGGAACGGGGACACGGUCCAGACUCCUACGGGAGGCAGCAGUGGGGAAUAUUGGACAAUGGGCGCAAGCCUGAUCCAGCCAUACCGCGUGGGUGAAGAAGGCCUUCGGGUUGUAAAGCCCUUUUGUUGGGAAAGAAAAGCAGCAGGUUAAUACCCCGCUGUUCUGACGGUACCCAAAGAAUAAGCACCGGCUAACUUCGUG
Molecule: ribosomal RNA, 492 nt
Filed under: uncultured bacterium
Lineage: Bacteria
Description: partial 16S ribosomal RNA
Rfam family: Bacterial small subunit ribosomal RNA
Source: RNAcentral